Long non-coding RNA from Magnolia sinica, 179 nucleotides. RefSeq lists it as uncharacterized. The record is from RefSeq and is a predicted model, not a curated record. Lineage: Eukaryota; Viridiplantae; Streptophyta; Magnoliopsida; Magnoliales; Magnoliaceae. The transcript has 3 exons.
AGGGAGUACGGAAGAUUUCUAGAAGCCGUAGCCCAAGAAGUCAUGUGCUUUUUGUGGGGGAUCACCCAUAAGCCAUGUGGCCCAUCAUAUGGGUCAUUUUAUCAUCCAAAGGCCUGCAAGAGGAAGAAGCACCAACAACGACAACAGCUACAGCAGUAGCUCCCCUUCUCCAAGAGCCA